GUCCACGCUGUAAACGAUGGAUGCUAGCUGGUUGGGGGUUACCUCUCAGUAGCGUAGCUAACGCGUUAAGCAUCCCGCCUGGGGAGUACGGUCGCAAGAUUAAAACUCAAAGAAAUUGACGGGGACCCGCACAAGCGGUGGAACAUGUGGUUUAAUUCGAGGCAACGCGAAGAACCUUACCAGGCUUUGACAUGCCCUCUAUGAGCUCCCGAAAAAGGAGCUCUUCACUUCGGGUGGGAGGUGCACAGGUGCUGCAUGGCUGUCGU
RNAcentral lists this ribosomal RNA (266 nucleotides) under uncultured bacterium. Its description in RNAcentral is "partial 16S ribosomal RNA". It matches the Rfam family "Bacterial small subunit ribosomal RNA", at positions 793 to 1055 of the family's 1533-position model. The record is from RNAcentral.